RNAcentral lists this ribosomal RNA (446 nucleotides) under uncultured soil bacterium. RNAcentral describes it as "bacterial SSU rRNA". It matches the Rfam family "Bacterial small subunit ribosomal RNA", at positions 26 to 518 of the family's 1533-position model. The record is from RNAcentral.
AGAACGAACGCUGGCGGCAGGCCUAACACAUGCAAGUCGAGCGGAUCCUUCGGGAUUAGCGGCGGACGGGUGAGUAACGCGUGGGAACAUACCCUUUGGUACGGAAUAGCCUCGGGAAACUGAGAGUAAUACCGUAUGUGCCCUUCGGGGGAAAGAUUUAUCGCCAAAGGAUUGGCCCGCGUUGGAUUUAGGUAGUUGGUGGGGUAAUGGCCUACCAAGCCGACGAUCCAUAGCUGGUUUGAGAGGAUGAUCAGCCACACUGGGACUGAGACACGGCCCAGACUCCUACGGGAGGCAGCAGUGGGGAAUCUUAGACAAUGGGGGAAACCCUGGAUCUAGCCAUGCCGCGUGAUCGAUGAAGGCCUUAGGGUGUAAAGAUCUUUCAGUGGGAAGAGUAAUGACGGUACCACAGAAGAAGCCCGGCUAACUCCGUGCCAGCAGCCGAC